This 253-nucleotide ribosomal RNA is filed under the name uncultured bacterium. Its description in RNAcentral is "partial 16S ribosomal RNA". It matches the Rfam family "Bacterial small subunit ribosomal RNA", at positions 524 to 776 of the family's 1533-position model. The record is from RNAcentral.
UACAGAGGGUGCAAGCGUUAAUCGGAGUUACUGGGCGUAAAGGGCGCGUAGGCGGUUGUUUAAGUUGGAUGUGAAAUCCCUGGGCUUAACCUAGGAACUGCAUACAAGACUGGGCGACUGGAGUACUGUAGAGGGUAGUGGAAUUUCCGGUGUAGCGGUGAAAUGCGUAGAGAUCGGAAGGAACACCAGUGGCGAAGGCGGCUACCUGGACAGAUACUGACGCUGAGGCACGAAAGCGUGGGGAGCAAACAGG